This 184-nucleotide unclassified non-coding RNA is filed under the name uncultured fungus. Its description in RNAcentral is "sequence contains ITS1". Lineage: Eukaryota; Fungi. The record is from RNAcentral.
UUGACUUAUUUAAAGUUUAUCUCAGAGAUACAUUAAAACAAGAGUUUAGUAGUCCUUCGGCGGGGUGCCGGGUAGCUACAAGGUAGCUCCAGGGCACGUCCGCCGAGGCAACAGAGGUAUGUUCACAUGGUUUAGGGAGUUUUACAACUCGAUAAUGAUCCCUCCGCUGGUUCACCAACGGAGA